ACUGGGUGCGGUUGCGCACACCUGUAAUCCAAGUGAUUUAGGAGGUUGAGGCAGGAGGAUCACAAGUAUGAGGUCAGCCUCUGCAACAGAGAAAGACCCUCAGCAAUUUAGGGAGAUUUUGUCUCAA
This 127-nucleotide small RNA is filed under the name Marmota monax (woodchuck). The record is from RNAcentral. Lineage: Eukaryota; Metazoa; Chordata; Mammalia; Rodentia; Sciuridae.